This 78-nucleotide small RNA is filed under the name Gopherus agassizii (Agassiz's desert tortoise). Its description in RNAcentral is "HOXA11 antisense RNA 1 conserved region 1 (ENSGAGG00000024749.1)". Lineage: Eukaryota; Metazoa; Chordata; Testudines; Testudinidae. The record is from RNAcentral.
GUCACUUUGGUAUUCUCACCAAAAGCACGUAAUCUAAAAUAUAACUCAUGUUUUCCUUGUUCACCCUCAGAGGACAAA